AGAUGCGAUCAUACCAGCACUAAUACACCGGAUCCAUCAGAAUUCCAAAGUUAAGCUUGCUUCGGCGAGAGUAAUAUUAAGAUGGGUGACCUCCUAGGAAGUCCUCGUGUUUCUCCUC
Molecule: non-coding RNA, 118 nt
Organism: Lupinus angustifolius (narrow-leaved blue lupine)
Lineage: Eukaryota; Viridiplantae; Streptophyta; Magnoliopsida; Fabales; Fabaceae
Source: Rfam